Molecule: ribosomal RNA, 424 nt
Filed under: uncultured bacterium
Lineage: Bacteria
Description: bacterial SSU rRNA
Rfam family: Bacterial small subunit ribosomal RNA
Source: RNAcentral
CAAGACCUUGCGCUUUUGGAGCGGCCGAUGUCUGAUUAGCUAGUUGGUGAGGUAAAGGCUUACCAAGGCGUCGAUCAGUAGCUGGUCUGAGAGGACGACCAGCCACACUGGGGCUGAGACACGGCCCAGACUCCUACGGGAGGCAGCAGUGGGGAAUUUGGGACAAUGGGGGAAACCCUGAUCCAGCCAUGCCGCGUGAGUGAAGAAGGCCUUCGGGUUGUAAAGCUCUUUCAGCCGGAACGAAACGGUCACGGUUAAUACCCGUGACUACUGACGGUACCGGAAGAAGAAGCACCGGCUAACUACGUGCCAGCAGCCGCGGUAAUACGUAGGGUGCAAGCGUUAAUCGGAAUUACUGGGCGUAAAGCGUGCGCAGGCGGUUUUGUAAGUCAGAUGUGAAAUCCCCGGGCUUAACCUGGGAACU